Molecule: unclassified non-coding RNA, 192 nt
Filed under: uncultured fungus
Lineage: Eukaryota; Fungi
Description: sequence contains ITS1
Source: RNAcentral
AUGAAUUUUGGGUUAAUCCGGCUUUGCAAAAGGCUUUGGAAUCCCGCUCUUCAUAUUCCCAAACCCUAGUGCACAUUUUUCCUAUUCGAUGUUGGAUGCUUUACUGCUGAAGAUGUUGUAAUGGAGAAAAACUCUUGUGAUUUUAAAUAAGGUCAAGGAUGGAUUCAAAUCCAAUUUGAAAAUGUUGUAUAA